AGUCUAGCAUGUGCGCGAGUCAUUGGGACUCAAUAAACCUAAAGGCACAAUGAAAGUGAAAGUCUGUUUACGCGGACUUAGGGAGGAUAGGUGAGUUACACAUUGUGUAAAAUCUCGCACUCCCGGGGCGUCUCGCACUCAUUGCGAGGUGGGGCGCACCAAGAGCGUACACGCUGGGACCCGAAAGAUGGUGAACUAUGCCUGGUCAGGACGAAGUCAGGGGAAACCCUGAUGGAGGUCCGUAGCGAUUCUGACGUGCAAAUCGAUCGUCGGAACUGGGCUUAGGGGCGAAAGACUAAUCGAACCAUCUAGUAGCUGGUUCCCACCGAAGUUUCCCUCAGGAUAGCUGGCACUAGAUUAUGGAUGAGUCUCAUCCGGUAAAGCGAAUGAUUAGAGGCAUUGGGGUCGAAACGGCCUCAACCUAUUCUCAAACUUUAAAUGGGUGAGAUCUCCGGCUUGCUUGAUUUAUGAAGCCGGAGAUCGGAUCAAUUAGUGCCAAGUGGGCCACUUUUGGUAAGCAGAACUGGCGCUGUGGGAUGAACCAAACGGAGAGUUAAAGCGCCAAAAUCGACGCUUAUGGGAUACCAUGAAAGGCGUUGGUAACUUAAGACAGCAGGACGGUGGCCAUGGAAGUC
Molecule: ribosomal RNA, 635 nt
Filed under: Carabus xiei abaxianensis
Lineage: Eukaryota; Metazoa; Arthropoda; Insecta; Coleoptera; Carabidae
Description: eukaryotic LSU rRNA
Rfam family: Eukaryotic large subunit ribosomal RNA
Source: RNAcentral